This 39-nucleotide ribosomal RNA is filed under the name Alpinia elegans. Its description in RNAcentral is "partial 26S ribosomal RNA". Lineage: Eukaryota; Viridiplantae; Streptophyta; Magnoliopsida; Zingiberales; Zingiberaceae. The record is from RNAcentral.
GUGGCCCCAAGUCAGGCAAGGCCCACCCCCCAAUUUUAA